RNAcentral lists this ribosomal RNA (422 nucleotides) under uncultured bacterium. Its description in RNAcentral is "bacterial SSU rRNA". It matches the Rfam family "Bacterial small subunit ribosomal RNA", at positions 355 to 774 of the family's 1533-position model. The record is from RNAcentral.
UAAGGAAUAUUGGUCAAUGGACGCAAGUCUGAACCAGCCAUGCCGCGUGGAGGAUGAAGGUCCUCUGGAUUGUAAACUUCUUUUAUCUGGGGCGAAACACUUCUUUUCUAAGAGGCCUGACGGUACAAGAUGAAUAAGCACCGGCUAACUCCGUGCCAGCAGCCGCGGUAAUACGGAGGGUGCAAGCGUUAUCCGGAUUCACUGGGUUUAAAGGGUGCGUAGGUGGGUAUGUAAGUCAGUGGUGAAAUCCCCGAGCUUAACUUGGGAACUGCCAUUGAUACUAUAUAUCUUGACUACCGUAGAGGUAAGCGGAAUAUGUCAUGUAGCGGUGAAAUGCUUAGAUAUGACAUGGAACACCGAUUGCGAAGGCAGCUUACUAUGCGGUGAUUGACACUGAGGCACGAAAGCGUGGGUAGCAAACA